RNAcentral lists this transfer RNA (97 nucleotides) under Malassezia caprae. RNAcentral's name for it is "tRNA-Val". It matches the Rfam family "tRNA". From Rfam's summary of the family: Transfer RNA (tRNA) molecules are approximately 80 nucleotides in length. Their secondary structure includes four short double-helical elements and three loops (D, anti-codon, and T loops). Lineage: Eukaryota; Fungi; Basidiomycota; Malasseziomycetes; Malasseziales; Malasseziaceae. The record is from RNAcentral. RNAcentral also lists the same sequence under 1 other name.
GACUCUGUAACUCAGUUGGUUAGAGUAUCACGUUAACACAAAUCGUGAUCAACGGUGUCAACCGUGAAAGUCCCCGGUUCGAGUCCGGGCAGAGUCA